CCUACGGGUGGCAGCAGUGGGGAAUAUUGCACAAUGGGGGAAACCCUGAUGCAGCGACGCCGCGUGAGCGAGGAAGUAUUUCGGUAUGUAAAGCUCUAUCAGCAGGGACGAAAAACGACGGUACCUGACUAAGACGCCCCGGCUAACUACGUGCCGGCAGCCGCGGUACUACGUAGGGGGCAAGCGUUAUCCGGAUUUACUGGGGGUAAAGGGAGCGUAGACGGCAAGGCAAGCCAGAAGUGAAAGGGCAGGGCUCAACCCUGUACAUGCCGUUGGAACUGUGGGGCUAGAGUGCAGGAGAGGUAAGUGGAAUGCGUAGUGUAGCGGUGAAAUGCGUAGAUAUUAGGAGGAACUCCAGUGGCGAAGGCGGCUUACUGGACUGUAACUGACGUUGAGGCUCGAAAGCGUGGGGAGCAAACAGGAUUAGAUACCCGGGUAGUC
This 441-nucleotide ribosomal RNA is filed under the name uncultured bacterium. RNAcentral describes it as "partial 16S ribosomal RNA". It matches the Rfam family "Bacterial small subunit ribosomal RNA", at positions 338 to 795 of the family's 1533-position model. The record is from RNAcentral.